ACGGCCAGCUGCAAGAAGCUCACACCAAGAACCCCUCUCCUGAUCUCCUCCCCAUCCUCCUCGUCGCACCGUCGCCAUUGUUGCUGCCUCGCUACAACGCGGCGUCGAUCACGAAGAUGCUUCUGCUGAGGGCGCCGACGCCGUUCGCGUACGCGAAGGUGGAGAAGGUGGACGCGGAGGAGGCGCGGCACCUCAGGGCGCAGUACCUGAUCCAGAAGGUGCUGGAGGAGAAGAGCCCGCGGUCCCGGCCGCCGGCGCUGGCGCGGGUGAAGGCGAGGAUCGGCGUGCGGCUGAAGAAGCUCAGGCUCGCCGUCCGGAGCGUCAGGGUGCGGGCGUGCCGGACCCUGCAGAGGCACCUCAGGAACCUGAGGAGGCUCAUCGCGCUCGGAGGUCAGCAGGGAUCAGGGGAGCCUUCUUGAUGAUGCCUCGCUUCUGAAAGAAAGAAAGUCCCAUGUUUUUUUUUUGGUGUUCUUGUGUGGAUCAAAGCAAUGGCUGAUAACAUCUGAGCUUUUGCUGAGAGGUUUGGGAUCACAAUCUGUAUCUGUUUAAUUAGGUGGUGGAAGGAAUCAUAUACAUACAAAAAAAUGUGUAAUAGUAGUAGCAAUCAAGCAAUGCCACUGUUCAGGUUUUGCAUUUUUAUGCCAUGCGGUGUUCUGGAAUCCUGCUCUGCCAGUUCAGCAGAAGUCAGCGAUUUCUUAUUUCUCCACUAAUUUCUUUCCUUUAUAAUAUAGUUUUUGCUAGUUUCUGGUACAUUGUAUCAUGGUCUGAUCAAUCUUUUUCAAUAAUCCAGCAAUCUCUGUAUCCAAGCAUCCUCCUUUUCUGGAUCUGCUUUUUUUUUGUGUAUUUGUGUGUAAGUGAACUCUGCAGUAUGGUUUGCUAUCCACGCUGAUCUGGAGCAGGAUUGACAUGAUCGAUAAAAAAAUCUCUCACCUUACCUACUCUUCUUCUAUGCAACUCCGAAUCUUCAGUUAUUUACUUGCGGAUAAAUU
RNAcentral lists this long non-coding RNA (989 nucleotides) under Setaria viridis. RNAcentral's name for it is "long non-coding RNA (SVIR_LNC002395)". Lineage: Eukaryota; Viridiplantae; Streptophyta; Magnoliopsida; Poales; Poaceae. The record is from RNAcentral.